Molecule: long non-coding RNA, 884 nt
Organism: Hyla sarda
Lineage: Eukaryota; Metazoa; Chordata; Amphibia; Anura; Hylidae
Exons: 3
Source: RefSeq, a predicted model, not a curated record
AGAGAAAAUUGUCUACUUUUCUCUAUGAGGCCUUCCCAGAAAGAAAGCUUGAAAACAGAAGGAAAUUCCAGCAAAAACACACAAUGCUUUGAAAACAGGAAUUGAGCAACAGGGAAAUGUCUGCCUUUCUGAACAUGAAGACAUUCCUGCAGGGAGUACACACGCCGAGCAUACACGGCAGGGUUAACUGAGCACAAUGUAUUUUAGAAACUGCGGAUCUACUGGGAUUUUCACGCACAACCAUCUCAAAGAGAAAAGCAGCAGUUGUGUGGAUGUAAAAUGCCUUGUUAAUUUCAGAGGAUAAUGGGCUGACUGGUUUAAGAUGACAGAAAGGCAACAGUAACUCAGAUAACCACUGGUUACAACCAAGUUACCAGUAAUACCAUCUCCGAAUGCAACACAUCCAACCUUGAAGAAGAUGGGCUACAACAGGAGAAGACCACACAGGUUGCACUGCUUUCAGCUAAGAACAGAAAACUGAGGUUACAAUUUGCAAAGGACCACUGCAAUUGUACAAUCGAAGACUGGAAGUACGAUGCCUAGUCUGAUGAGUCUCAAUUCCAACUGCGAUAUUUAGAUGACAGGGUAAGAAUUUGGCAUAGACAACAUAAAAGCAUAAAUUCAUCCUGCCUUGUAUCAGCAGUUCAGGCUGCUGGUGGUGUAAUGGUGCAGGGGGACAUUUUCUUUGCACACUUUGGACGCUUGGUUCCAAUAUGCAUUGUUUAUACACAACAGCCUACCUAUUGUUACUGACCAUGUCCACUCCUUUAUGACCACAGUGGACCCAUCUUCUGAUGAUACUUCCAGCAGGAUAAUGCACCAUGUCACAUUACAUCAUCUCAUACAUGACAAUGAGGUCACUGGACUCCAAUGGCCUCCACAGU